RNAcentral lists this ribosomal RNA (1223 nucleotides) under Alteromonas sp. RNAcentral's name for it is "bacterial SSU rRNA". It matches the Rfam family "Bacterial small subunit ribosomal RNA", at positions 36 to 1239 of the family's 1533-position model. Lineage: Bacteria; Pseudomonadati; Pseudomonadota; Gammaproteobacteria; Alteromonadales; Alteromonadaceae. The record is from RNAcentral.
GAAGUGGCGCAGACUACACAUGCAGUCGAACGGUAACAUGAUGUGCUUGCUCAUCGAUGACGAGUGGCGGACGGGUGAGUAAUGCUUGGGAACUUGCCUUUGCGAGGGGGAUAACAGUUGGAAACGACUGCUAAUACCGCAUAAUGUCUACGGACCAAACGGGGCUUCGGCUCCGGCGCAAAGAGAGGCCCAAGUGAGAUUAGCUAGUUGGUAAGGUAACGGCUUACCAAGGCGACGAUCUCUAGCUGUUCUGAGAGGAAGAUCAGCCACACUGGGACUGAGACACGGCCCAGACUCCUACGGGAGGCAGCAGUGGGGAAUAUUGCACAAUGGGGGAAACCCUGAUGCAGCCAUGCCGCGUGUGUGAAGAAGGCCUUCGGGUUGUAAAGCACUUUCAGUUGUGAGGAAAAGUUAGUAGUUAAUACCUGCUAGCCGUGACGUUAACAACAGAAGAAGCACCGGCUAACUCCGUGCCAGCAGCCGCGGUAAUACGGAGGGUGCGAGCGUUAAUCGGAAUUACUGGGCGUAAAGCGCACGCAGGCGGUUUGUUAAGCUAGAUGUGAAAGCCCCGGGCUCAACCUGGGAUGGUCAUUUAGAACUGGCAGACUAGAGUCUUGGAGAGGGGAGUGGAAUUCCAGGUGUAGCGGUGAAAUGCGUAGAUAUCUGGAGGAACAUCAGUGGCGAAGGCGACUCCCUGGCCAAAGACUGACGCUCAUGUGCGAAAGUGUGGGUAGCGAACAGGAUUAGAUACCCUGGUAGUCCACACCGUAAACGCUGUCUACUAGCUGUGUGUGCCUUUAAGGCGUGCGUAGCGAAGCUAACGCGCUAAGUAGACCGCCUGGGGAGUACGGCCGCAAGGUUAAAACUCAAAUGAAUUGACGGGGGCCCGCACAAGCGGUGGAGCAUGUGGUUUAAUUCGAUGCAACGCGAAGAACCUUACCUACACUUGACAUGCUGAGAAGUUACUAGAGAUAGUUUCGUGCCUUCGGGAACUCAGACACAGGUGCUGCAUGGCUGUCGUCAGCUCGUGUCGUGAGAUGUUGGGGUUAAGUCCCGCAACCAAGCGCAACCCUUGGUCCUUAGUUGCCAGCCUUAAAUUUGGGCACUUCUAAGGAGAACCUGCCGGUGAAAAAACCCGGAGGAAAGGUGGGGGACAAACUCAAAGUUCAUUCAGGGCCCUUUACCGGGUAGGGGCUUCCCCACCGUGCCAACAAGGGGCAUUA